This 450-nucleotide unclassified non-coding RNA is filed under the name Hevea brasiliensis (rubber tree). The record is from RNAcentral. Lineage: Eukaryota; Viridiplantae; Streptophyta; Magnoliopsida; Malpighiales; Euphorbiaceae.
AAUUGCAGCCAAAUGAGCGCCAUCAUUUCAGGACAAAUCCCUGAGGAAAUGCUUUCUGAUUUGUUAUAAUAUUAACUAUGUCAUUUAGGAUCGUCACUCUGUUUCUGAACAAGAGUGAAUGAAAUGCUAGUUGGUUUCAUUUUAUUCAUCUUUUCAGGCAGCAGCGUCACUAUUUCUAGGAAUUAAAAAGCUAAAGCUAAGGUGUAAGUUAUUAUUUUUAUAAUUUUUCUGCAUAAAGUUGUAUUAUGCAUUUAUAGUUUUUGCCUAUUUACAGUUAAAUUGUACUCGUGCAUAUACAAAUUAGACUGGCAGAUGUUCCUGUGGAUGUGCAGUUGCACCUCUUGUCCAUGUGUAAAGUUUUAAGUUUGAACAAACACAAUGGUGGGAGCUUGUGUGUAAAAUGUGCUGUUGACAUUCUCAAUUUUACUUGCUUUUUUUGGCUUCCCCCCG